GUAAUGCCGGAUGCUCCAUCACACCGCAUGGUGUGUUGGGAAAGCCUUUGCGGCAUGGGAUGGGGUCGCGUCCUAUCAGCUUGAUGGCGGGGUAACGGCCCACCAUGGCUUCGACGGGUAGCCGGCCUGAGAGGGCGACCGGCCACAUUGGGACUGAGAUACGGCCCAGACUCCUACGGGAGGCAGCAGUGGGGAAUAUUGCACAAUGGGCGCAAGCCUGAUGCAGCGACGCCGCGUGAGGGAUGGAGGCCUUCGGGUUGUAAACCUCUUUUGUUAGGGAGCAAGGCAUUUUGUGUUGAGUGUACCUUUCGAAUAAGCACCGGCUAACUACGUGCCAGCAGCCGCGGUAAUACGUAGGGUGCAAGCGUUAUCCGGAAUUAUUGGGCGUAAAGGGCUCGUAGGCGGUUCGUCGCGUCCGGUGUGAAAGUCCAUCGCUUAACGGUGGAUCCGCGCCGGGUACGGGCGGGCUUGAGUGCGGUAGGGGAGACUGGAAUUCCCGGUGUAACGGUGGAAUGUGUAGAUAUCGGAGAGAGAA
This 535-nucleotide ribosomal RNA is filed under the name Bifidobacterium breve. Its description in RNAcentral is "bacterial SSU rRNA". It matches the Rfam family "Bacterial small subunit ribosomal RNA", at positions 163 to 708 of the family's 1533-position model. The record is from RNAcentral. Lineage: Bacteria; Bacillati; Actinomycetota; Actinomycetes; Bifidobacteriales; Bifidobacteriaceae.